CGCCAGACUCCUACGGGAGGCAGCAGUCGGGAAUAUUGCGCAAUGGAGGAAACUCUGACGCAGUGACGCCGCGUAUAGGAAGAAGGUUUUCGGAUUGUAAACUAUUGUCGUUAGGGAAGAUAAAAGACUGUACCUAAGGAGGAAGCCCCGGCUAACUAUGUGCCAGCAGCCGCGGUAAUACGUAGGGGGCAAGCGUUAUCCGGAUUUACUGGGUGUAAAGGGAGCGUAGACGGCAUGGCAAGCCAGAUGUGAAAUACCGGGGCUCAACCCCGGGACUGCAUUUGGAACUGUUAAGCUGGAGUGUCGGAGAGGCAGGCGGAAUUCCUAGUGUAGCGGUGAAAUGCGUAGAUAUUAGGAGGAACACCAGUGGCGAAGGCGGCCUGCUGGACGAUAACUGACGUUGAGGCUCGAAAGCGUGGGGAGCAAACAGGAUUAGAUACCCUGGUACA
RNAcentral lists this ribosomal RNA (449 nucleotides) under uncultured bacterium. RNAcentral describes it as "bacterial SSU rRNA". It matches the Rfam family "Bacterial small subunit ribosomal RNA", at positions 329 to 794 of the family's 1533-position model. The record is from RNAcentral.